UGUCCCAGGUGUGUCUCAGCUGUCCCCAGGUGUCCCCAGGUGUCCCCAGGUGUCCCCAGGUGUGUCCCAGGUGUGUCCCAGGUGUGUCCCAGGUGUGUCCCAGGUGUGUCCCAGGUGUGUUUUUGAUGUCCCCAGGUGUCCCCAGCUGUCCCCAGGUGUCCCCAGGUGUCCCAGGUGUGCCAGGUGCGCUCACCUGCGGGACCAGGUUGCGGAAGCUGGCGAUGAUGUUGGUGCUCUUGAACUCCUGGUAGUACCCGAAGCACCCGGUGACGACCACGACGGCGAUGAGAGCCACGGCCAGGUAGAGCUGCAGGUGAGGCCAGGUGAGAGCGGGCCUGGGC
This 341-nucleotide long non-coding RNA is filed under the name Parus major (Great Tit). RNAcentral describes it as "lncRNA (ENSPMJG00000002500.1)". Lineage: Eukaryota; Metazoa; Chordata; Aves; Passeriformes; Paridae. The record is from RNAcentral.